GGGCCCGCACAAGCGGUGGAGUAUGUGGUUUAAUUCGAUGCAACGCGAAGAACCUUACCAGGGUUUGACAUCCUGCGAAUCUCUUGGAAACUUGAGAGUGCCUUCGGGAGCGCAGUGACAGGUGGUGCAUGGCUGUCGUCAGCUCGUGUCGUGAGAUGUUGGGUUAAGUCCCGCAACGAGCGCAACCCACGUCUUUAGUUGCCAGCGAGUAAUGUCGGGAACUCUAGCAAGACUGCCAGUGCAAACUGUGAGGAAGGUGGGGAUGACGUCAAAUCAUCACGGCCCUUACGUCCUGGCUACACACGUGCUACAAUGGUAGGUACAGAGAGCAGCCAAUGCGCGAGCAUGAG
RNAcentral lists this ribosomal RNA (350 nucleotides) under uncultured bacterium. Its description in RNAcentral is "bacterial SSU rRNA". It matches the Rfam family "Bacterial small subunit ribosomal RNA", at positions 917 to 1267 of the family's 1533-position model. The record is from RNAcentral.